Molecule: transfer RNA, 74 nt
Filed under: uncultured archaeon
Lineage: Archaea
Description: tRNA-Gly(tcc)
Rfam family: tRNA
About the family: Transfer RNA (tRNA) molecules are approximately 80 nucleotides in length. Their secondary structure includes four short double-helical elements and three loops (D, anti-codon, and T loops). Further hydrogen bonds mediate the characteristic L-shaped molecular structure. tRNAs have two regions of fundamental functional importance: the anti-codon, which is responsible for specific mRNA codon recognition, and the 3' end, to which the tRNAs corresponding amino acid is attached (by aminoacyl-tRNA synthetases). tRNAs cope with the degeneracy of the genetic code in two manners: having more than one tRNA (with a specific anti-codon) for a particular amino acid; and 'wobble' base-pairing, i.e. permitting non-standard base-pairing at the 3rd anti-codon position.
Source: RNAcentral
GCGGGAGUAACUCAAUGGUAGAGUAGCAGCUUUCCAAGCUGCAAAUGAGCGUUCAAUUCGCUCCUCCCGCUCCA